AAAACUAACUCACUUUUGCAGGAAUCGCGAUUGCAUUUACCGUAUGCAAUAAGGCUUUAAACCCCUAGGUGGCCCUAGUGGACGAGUUUUGUCUCGUGAGGGUUUCCGGCUCAGAUACCCACAAACUGCGGUCUCUACCCAGUUUAUUUUAUUGUUUUAUAAAAUCUAAUUUCAAAUGCAUAAGUACCAAGAAUUUCAAAAGCACACAAAGUUUUAUUACUAAGUCAGUCCAAAUCCUAGGUCAAGAUGCAACUUAAGUUGAAGUCAUUAAGUUUCCGUUAGAGAGUUGUAAGGCUAAUUUAUACUUGGGUGCUCGGUGAUGUCUGGACCAUACACAAGCUAAGGCUUUAGAUUCUCCAAAAUACUGCUAAAACUAGUAGUUUCCAAGAAUUGGUCAGAUAAGACCUAAUCACUGAUUCAAAAUCAUCCUACCUUGCAGGAUUUCGAGAGUUGUGGAUGUUUACUUUAAUACCUCAUGGGCUUUAUCUGUAAUAUUCUAGUUUACUCGAAUUUUUACAACGACGG
RNAcentral lists this long non-coding RNA (525 nucleotides) under Phoenix dactylifera (date palm). RNAcentral describes it as "long non-coding RNA (PDAC_LNC011893)". The record is from RNAcentral. Lineage: Eukaryota; Viridiplantae; Streptophyta; Magnoliopsida; Arecales; Arecaceae.